This is a transfer RNA of 73 nucleotides. It matches the Rfam family "tRNA". Rfam says of the family: Transfer RNA (tRNA) molecules are approximately 80 nucleotides in length. Their secondary structure includes four short double-helical elements and three loops (D, anti-codon, and T loops). Further hydrogen bonds mediate the characteristic L-shaped molecular structure. tRNAs have two regions of fundamental functional importance: the anti-codon, which is responsible for specific mRNA codon recognition, and the 3' end, to which the tRNAs corresponding amino acid is attached (by aminoacyl-tRNA synthetases). tRNAs cope with the degeneracy of the genetic code in two manners: having more than one tRNA (with a specific anti-codon) for a particular amino acid; and 'wobble' base-pairing, i.e. permitting non-standard base-pairing at the 3rd anti-codon position.
GCUUCUAUAGCUUAAUCAGGUAAAGCAGUAGAGUGAAGUUCUAUCUAUAUAGGUUCAAUUCCUUUUAGGGGCA